AGGGUGUAGCUCAUUGGUAGAGCAUCGGUUCCAAAACCGAGGGCCGGGGGUCGAGUCCCUCCGCCCCUGCCA
This 72-nucleotide transfer RNA is filed under the name Alphaproteobacteria bacterium. RNAcentral's name for it is "tRNA-OTHER". It matches the Rfam family "tRNA". Rfam says of the family: Transfer RNA (tRNA) molecules are approximately 80 nucleotides in length. Their secondary structure includes four short double-helical elements and three loops (D, anti-codon, and T loops). The record is from RNAcentral. Lineage: Bacteria; Pseudomonadati; Pseudomonadota; Alphaproteobacteria.